Long non-coding RNA from Eurytemora carolleeae, 351 nucleotides. RefSeq lists it as uncharacterized. The transcript is spliced from 5 exons. Lineage: Eukaryota; Metazoa; Arthropoda; Copepoda; Calanoida; Temoridae. The record is from RefSeq and is a predicted model, not a curated record.
UAUUGUAAAAGAUAGUGACUGUUCUAAAGAGGACAGGUCAGUUUAGGAAUACAGUAAUUGUGUUCCUAUCAGACAACGGAGCUACCGGACACUUGAAUAAGGAAAUACAAGAUUACAAUUUUCCCCUGAGAGGGUUUAAGGGUACAUUGUAUGAAGGAGGAACUAAGAUUCCCGCAUUUAUUUAUAGUCCUUUGCUGAACAAAUCCGCCAAAGGGUCUAGAUAUAAUGGACUCAUGCAUAUGGUUGAUGUGUUCCCUACCCUUCUUAGGCUCACACAAGUGAAGGUCCCUACAGGAUUGGAUGGGGUAGAUCAGUGGGAUGCAAUAAAUGGAAAUUCUGAAAGUCCUAGGU